GUCCUCUUGGAUUAUAUUUGAGGUCUGGCCUGCUCACUGACAAGUUUUAAAGAGCCGCGGUAUUUUGACCGUGCAAAGGUAGCAUAAUCAUUAGUCUCUUAAUUAGGGGCUGGAAUGAAUGGCUUGACGAGAAAUUAACUGUCUCUUAUUAAAUUAUAGAAUUUAACUUUUGAGUUAAAAGGCUUAAAUUUUUCUUAAAGACGAGAAGACCCUAUAGAGCUUGACAUUUUAUUUUAAUAUAAUUUUUAGAUAAUCUUUUUAUAUUUUAAGAUGAUGUUUUGUUGGGGUGACAUGAAGAAUAAAUAAACUCUUCAUUAUAAAAUCAUUGAUUUAUGUUUAUUUGAUCCAUAAUUUAUGAUCAUAAGAUUAAGUUACCUUAGGGAUAACAGCGUAAUUGUUUUUGAGAGCUCAUAUUGACAAAGCAGAUUGCGACCUCGAUGUUGGAUUAAGAAUAAUUUUGGGUGCAGGAGCCCAAUAAUUAGGUCUGUUCGACUU
Molecule: ribosomal RNA, 495 nt
Filed under: Melanoplus packardii (Packard grasshopper)
Lineage: Eukaryota; Metazoa; Arthropoda; Insecta; Orthoptera; Acrididae
Description: partial 16S ribosomal RNA
Rfam family: Archaeal large subunit ribosomal RNA
Source: RNAcentral